GUGCUCACUUUGGUAGCACAUAUACUAAAACUGGAACGAUACAGAAAAAAGUUAGCAUGGCCCCUGUGCAAGAAUGGCACUCAAAUUCAAGAAGGAUUCUGUAUUUUU
RNAcentral lists this small nuclear RNA (108 nucleotides) under Microtus ochrogaster (prairie vole). Lineage: Eukaryota; Metazoa; Chordata; Mammalia; Rodentia; Cricetidae. The record is from RNAcentral.